GCCUGGGUGGCUCAGUCGGUUGAGCGUCCGACUUCGACUCAGGUCAUGAUCUCGCGGUCCGUGGGUUCGAGCCCCGCGUCGGGCU
RNAcentral lists this transfer RNA (85 nucleotides) under Felis catus (domestic cat). It matches the Rfam family "tRNA". From Rfam's summary of the family: Transfer RNA (tRNA) molecules are approximately 80 nucleotides in length. Lineage: Eukaryota; Metazoa; Chordata; Mammalia; Carnivora; Felidae. RNAcentral also lists the same sequence under 1 other name. The record is from Rfam by way of RNAcentral.